Molecule: long non-coding RNA, 267 nt
Filed under: Manihot esculenta (cassava)
Lineage: Eukaryota; Viridiplantae; Streptophyta; Magnoliopsida; Malpighiales; Euphorbiaceae
Description: long non-coding RNA (MESC_LNC002014)
Source: RNAcentral
ACGUUAGGAAGAAGCUGUGAAUGUUGAAGAUAACAAGAGUGGACAACGGCAAUAGGACGGACAGCGAGAAGCAGAGCCGGAUCCACUCAGUCUGCAUAGCUCAGAUAAUUCAAGAAUGAUAUUAGUUUCUGCACCCCUAACUGAUACCAAUUAUCUUGCCUGGUACCGCUCUGUAACUCUACCUUCGAAAGUCAAAGAUAAACUAGGGUUUAUAAAUGACGGUAUUCGUAUGCUUGCUGUUGGAACUCCUAAAUAUGUAAAAUGGAC